AUACGGAGGGUGCAAGCGUUAUCCGGAAUCAUUGGGUUUAAAGGGUCCGCAGGCGGUCAAUUAAGUCAGAGGUGAAAUCCCAUAGCUUAACUAUGGAACUGCCUUUGAUACUGGUUGACUUGAGUUAUCCGGAAGUAGAUAGAAUGUGUAGUGUAGCGGUGAAAUGCAUAGAGAUUACACAGAAUACCGAUUGCGAAGGCAGUCUACUACGUAUAUACUGACGCUCAUGGACGAAAGCGUGGGGAGCGAACAGGAUUAGAAACCCCAGUAGUCC
This 274-nucleotide ribosomal RNA is filed under the name uncultured bacterium. Its description in RNAcentral is "partial 16S ribosomal RNA". It matches the Rfam family "Bacterial small subunit ribosomal RNA", at positions 523 to 796 of the family's 1533-position model. The record is from RNAcentral.